RNAcentral lists this non-coding RNA (26 nucleotides) under Mus musculus (house mouse). Lineage: Eukaryota; Metazoa; Chordata; Mammalia; Rodentia; Muridae. The record is from RNAcentral.
UUGUAGUGAAGUCUGCCCCCUGCAAC